GCAUAAUAAUUUGCCUUUUAAUUAAAGGCUUGUAUGAAUGGAUUUUCGAGAAUAUAACUGUCUCUUUAUAUUAGAUAAAAAUUAAUUAAAAGGUGAAGAAGCCUUUAUAAUAAUAAAAGACAAGAAGACCCUAUCGAGCUUUAUAUAGUUGUUAUAUUUUAUGAGUAUAUGUAUUUAAUUAUUUCUUUUAUAUUUGGUUGGGGCGACUAAGGAAAAUAUAAAUCUUCCUUUAUUUUUUUGAAAAUAAUUCAUUUAAUUGAUCCAUAAUGAUUGAUAGAAAUAGUUACCGUAGGGAUAACAGGCUAAUCUUAUUUGAGAGUUCAUAUUGAUAUUAAGGAUUGGCACCUCGAUGUUGGCUUAGAAUAUCCUAUAAAUGCAGCAGUUUAUAAGGGUUGGUUUGUUCAACCAUUAAAA
This 414-nucleotide ribosomal RNA is filed under the name Pilargidae sp. 138-GSR-0478. RNAcentral's name for it is "partial 16S ribosomal RNA". It matches the Rfam family "Archaeal large subunit ribosomal RNA", at positions 2036 to 2662 of the family's 2987-position model. Lineage: Eukaryota; Metazoa; Annelida; Polychaeta; Phyllodocida; Pilargidae. The record is from RNAcentral.